Long non-coding RNA from Stegostoma tigrinum, 2013 nucleotides. RefSeq lists it as uncharacterized. Lineage: Eukaryota; Metazoa; Chordata; Chondrichthyes; Orectolobiformes; Stegostomatidae. The transcript has 3 exons. The record is from RefSeq and is a predicted model, not a curated record.
AAAGAUUACGAGUCGUGUCCGUUUGACUCACCGUUUGAUACCAUAGGUUGGUACGAUCUUCGUUCGAGAAGGAAAAGGGAUGUUCCAGAUACAGAAAAUCGUCAAACCAUUUACCACAAAGUCCGUUUCUGGGUGGAGUUAGUGGAACCGAAAAAGAUGUCUCCCUCACAGCGUUCGUGACAAAAGAAUUGCAUCGUUCCUUGGCGGCCUUUCAACAGAAGAAUAUUCAGAGAUUUCCCGAGUGUUGGUCGAGUGGAUCACAGAAAGUCUGGCAACAAAAAAGCUGCAAUGGUUACCUCCUCACUGCUUCCAACUCCUCCUUUUUCUCAGCUGGUGCCCUAUCACUGGCAGCGACAGCGUACCCUCAUGAUGCCAAGGUUGGAGACUAUCAAGAAUCAUGAUGACACCGGCCCUUCUCUGUACUGCAGGACUGCCCCAGAGUGCUCCAGGCAGCAGAAACAACAUUGAACUACUCCAGUGGUCUGCACCAUUACAUUUCCUGUGGUACUUUAUUUAGCCCCUCUGAGUGUAUAAUACACACUCCCAUAUGGACCACGUCAUCAAACAAAGGCUCUUGUCACCUCCUCAUUACUUCAAGUUGUUCAAAUGAGGAUGGCAGGGCAGAAUAUUGAAGAAUUAUUACAAAGUCUUCUGUUCAGUAUCCUGCUGCUUUCUGACAAGGAAAACUGAAAUGUACUUGAUUUUCAUGUAAUUUUGAUUCCCAUUACAGGUCCUUAUGGGAACAGGAAAAAUGACAAGCUGGAAAAUUUUGCAAGUAAUCUUUGGGCCAGCCUGGAAUCUUCCCAUCCUCUGGCCAUGACCUUGUGACCCUGCUUGGAGGUUGUAGUUUCAGUUUCAGAAGUGAUCAAUUCCAGUGAGGAUGUCUGUACCAAGGUGAAAGCUCACGCUUCACGACGGGAAAAAUGGCUCCAUUCAGACUCUGGAGAUUCAGGUGUCCCACUGAGAAUCGUUGUCUCCUUCAUCAUUCACCUUAUUCCAGUCACCUGUCCUGCUCUGUGUGAUUUCUGUCCAUUCUCUCAGUCAUGCUUGCCUGAGGGGAUAGCCACUACUGUAGCCCUGUUGUUGACUUGUGCAGUAUCCUCACAGUCAGGGAAUGCUUCCCCAUUCCUGAGAGAUUUCAGCUGGCUUAAACAGCUCUGAAAACCACUGAACACUUUUACAAGAGUCAGCGGAAAUCCACUUGCAUCUAACCUGUAAGUAGUUGGUGAUAUCUCUAUCCUCACUGCACUGGAUUAAGAGAGGAUUGUAACUGGAAUACUGAGGUCAAAACAUAUACCAUUAGCAUCCAAGCAGCAUUACGCAUACUUCCAUCAGAAUGUGAAUCAGAUGACAGGGAUUAUACCUAGCACUUGGAGAACUGACAGAAACCCCAGGUUACCUUGUCAGGAAAGUUCCAGUGAAUGAAGUGCCAACCGAGCACUUACCAUUCGGGGGCAGUCUGUGGCUAAAACCCCACUCACUGAGAGAUGCUGGCCAAACAGAGACUAGUGUCUCGCCAUUGCAGGUGGUGCCACAAGGAAGGGUGGCUGAUGCUGGUACUGCAAUUAAUCCAAUGCUAUUCGUGAGUCAUGAACAAAUUGGAGUCGUGGGAGAGGUUUUCUGGCCAGGGAAUCAGGAGGUUGUAAGAAAAGGUAGUCAGGUGCUAUCUGUUUGCCAUCGCUACUAAUAUGGCAUGGCGGAUCAAUGGUUAGCACUGCUGCCUCACAGCUCCAGGGACCCAGGUUCAAUUCCAACCUCAGGUGACUGUCUGUGUGGAGUUUGCACAUUCUGUAUAUGUCUGCAUGGGUUUCCUCUGGGUGCUCCAGUUUCCUCCCACAGUCCAAAGAUGUGCAGGUUAGAUGGCUUGGCCAUGCUAAGUUGCCCAGAGUGUCCAGGUAUGUGUGGGUUAGGUGGGUUAUAGUGGAAUGGGUGUGGGUGGAAUGCUACAUCCAGCUCUACACCUUGUUAUCUCUAUUGUAGAGCAUCUAUGUGCCCCACUGUUAUUUUACUAUC